Molecule: ribosomal RNA, 449 nt
Filed under: uncultured bacterium
Lineage: Bacteria
Description: bacterial SSU rRNA
Rfam family: Bacterial small subunit ribosomal RNA
Source: RNAcentral
CACUGUCACUCCUACGGGAGGCAGCAGUGGGGAAUCUUGGACAAUGGGCGCAAGCCUGAUCCAGCCAUGCCGCGUGAGUGAUGAAGGCCCUAGGGUCGUAAAGCUCUUUCGCCAGGGAUGAUAAUGACAGUACCUGGUAAAGAAACCCCCGGCUAACUCCGUGCCAGCAGCCGCGGUAAUACGGAGGGGGUUAGCGUUGUUCGGAAUUACUGGGGCGUAAAGCGCGCGUAGGCGGACUGGAAAGUUGGGGUGAAAUCCCCGGGGCUCAACCCGGAACUGCCUCCAAAACUCCCAGUCUUGAGUUCGAGAGAGGUGAGUGGAAUUCCGAGUGUAGAGGUGAAAUUCGUAGAUAUUCGGAGGAACACCAGUGGCGAAGGCGGCUCACUGGCUCGAUACUGACGCUGAGGUGCGAAAGUGUGGGGAGCAAACAGGAUUAGAUACCCUGGUAG